CGCUGGCGGCUGGCUAAACAUGCAGUCGAACGAGAACCCGCAAGGGGGGACAGUGGCGGAAGGGCGAGUAAUAGUAUCGAACGUACCCCGAGGUGGGGGAUAGGCAUGGGAAACUGUGCGUAAUACCCCAUGAUCUCCACGGAGCAAAGCCGCAAGGCGCCUUGGGAGCGGCGAUAUUCCUAUCAGGUAGUUGGCGGGGUAAAGGCCCACCAAGCCGAAGACGGGUAGCGGGUGUGAGAGCACGGCCGCCGCAUCGAGACUGAGACACUGCUCGGACUCCUACGGGAGGCUGCAGUAACGAAUAUUCCGCAAUGCGCGAAAGCGUGACGGAGCAAUGCCGCGUGCAGGAUGAAGCAGUUUCGCCGUGUAAACUGCUGUCAGGAGUUACUAACACUGAAGAACUCCAGAGGAAGGACCGGCUAAUCUCGUGCCAGCAGCCGCGGUAAUACGAGAGGUCCAAGCGUUAGUCGGAAUCACUGGGUCUUAAAGGGUGCGUAGGCGGGCCAGUAAGUGUCUCGUGAAAUCCCAUGGUCAACCAUGGAACCGGGGGCAUACUGCUGGUCUUGAGGAAGCUAGAGGCUGGUGGAACGAUAGGUGGAGCGGUGGAAUGCGUAGAUAUCUAUCGGAACGCCGAAGGUGAAGACAGCCAGCUGGGGCUUUCCUGACGCUCAGGCACGAAAGCGUGGGGAUCAAACAGGAUUAGAUACCCUGGUAGUCCAGCCCUAAAGGAUGCACACUAGACCGAUGCGGGUCCUGACGUUCGUAAUUGGGACGGUAAGAGAAAACUUGGAUAACAGUUGGUGGCCCGCCUUGGGGGAAGUAACGGGUACGGCAAGGGUAAAAUUCCAAAGGAAUUUGGACGGGGGGUUCCACAACAAG
Molecule: ribosomal RNA, 879 nt
Filed under: uncultured bacterium
Lineage: Bacteria
Description: bacterial SSU rRNA
Rfam family: Bacterial small subunit ribosomal RNA
Source: RNAcentral